Molecule: non-coding RNA, 21 nt
Filed under: Arabidopsis thaliana (thale cress)
Lineage: Eukaryota; Viridiplantae; Streptophyta; Magnoliopsida; Brassicales; Brassicaceae
Source: RNAcentral
UUAACUUCGGGAGAAUUUGUG